UGCCUUCGAAUACGAGGAAGCAAUUCUCUCUGAAUCUGCGAACGGCUCCGCAAACCAGUUGUAAACCAAAGCAAGCAUACUCGGGGUUUGCCCUUCACGGGGUCGGCUACGGGUGAUACGGGUAACCCUGGUAAUUCUGAGGCUAAUACGAGAAUGUACUCCCUGGCUAACCGGGAAACUGGUAGGCUGGGGGGCGUGUGAUCUAUUUGCAAGACGAUUCCAGGAAGGGGUGCACGCUCUGACCGCGACAAAGACAGUUCUGACGGACCCUCACGGGCGAGUCGGUUCUGAGCGGCUCUUGCGAAGUGCUUCUGACCUAUCAACUAGACGGCAGCGUAACGGACAUGCCAUGGUUACAACGGGUACAGAGGAUUAGGGUUCGAUCCUGGAGAGUGGGCCUGAGAGAUUGCUCAUACUUCUAAGGAAGGCAGCAGGCGCGCAACGUUCCCCUUGGGCAAUGCCCGAGGGCGUUAGGGGACAUAUGAAUGGUUGCCUUUUAGGUGGCCAAUUCAAAUGGGUCUGUUCUAAACAGUCUCUCGAGUAACAAUUAGAGGACAAGUCUGGUGCCAGCACCCGCGAAAACCAACUGGAAUCCGCGGGAAAAGUGCGGGAUAAACCCCGUGCUAGUUGAGUCCCACUUACGUGUGUGUGGGGUAGCUCAGCAACAUCGUCAAAUUGCGGGAAAGCCCUAAAGCUGACACUACCAAGUGCGCGUCGGAAGACGGAAAAAACAAGGGCAUUGACCCCCUAACGGGGCGAGCUGCUUGCGCAUGGCCAGGGUAAUGACCUCGGGUAUGGUAAAAACGUGUUCGGAUUGGUGAUGUAGGUAAACCUCUUAGAUGAGGCCUGCAUCCUAACCAAAUGGGUAACCUGCAGCCAAGUCCACAAGCAAAGGAACAGCGACCACAGACCUCUCACCGGGUUCGUGAGUGUAUAGCUGGCUAGAAAACCGACCACAGACCUCUCACCGGGUUCGUGAGUGCAUAGGUUAGUAUAGCACCCGAGCGGAUGCAGUUCAGAGACUAGAUGGCGAUGGGGGUCCCCGAUUUUCGGGGAUCCUUAAGAUAUAGUCCGUCCACUGUGAAAACAGGCCGGGGGAGGAGGGAGGACCACAUACUCCCAGAGCUCCCGGGUUCCCCUAUGGGGGGAUGGAUACAUAUAACGGUAAUUCCAGCUCUAAUAGCAUACGUUAAAGUUGUUGCGGUUAAAACGCUCGUAGUCGGCUUCAGAUCAUCAAACGCCUGAGACGGGAACCUGGCUGCUGCCUUCAAAGGCGCUCCGGGCGACUAGCGAAGGCUGACGGUGGUCAAGUGUGCCUCAGGCUGUGUCCUCGGAUUCACAGGGCCCGGCCUCACGGUUGGGUUCGGCUUGUGGUACCACUUACCAUGACUAAACCGGCUCGAUCAAGAAUGGUCACGACGAUCUUGUACGGCGCAGCAUGGCAUAAGCAUAACUGGUCCGGGAUUUCUUGCGGUCCUGGAUCGGUAGAAGCAAAAGGGGUGUUCGAGGGUGACCGAAUUGCUGGGCGAGUGGUGAAAUACGUUGACCCUAGCAAGUCGACCAAAGGCGAAAGCAGUCAUCAAGGGCAUUCCCGUUGAUCAAGAGCGAAAGUUAAGGGUUCGAAGACGAUUUGACGGAAAUCUGGUCGUCAAUAGUGGCACCGUAAGGUGACUGCUAGUCCGGUGGCUAUAAGCUGCUACUAGUGAAUACACUGGUUUCAAGGGCAACACUAUCAAAUUGCGGGGACACCCUAAAGCUGACACUACCAAAUGCGCGUCGAAAGACGGAAAAAUCAAGGGCAUUGACCCCCUAACGGGGGUAGCUGCUUGCGCAUGGCCGGGUUAAUGACCUCGGGUAUGGUAAAAACGUGUUGGAUGGUGAUAUAGGUAAACCUCUUAAGUGAGGCCUGUAUCCUAACCAAUGGGCAAUCCGCAGCCAAGUCCCGUAAUCUAGAGGGCAGCACCACAACCACGCCAACAACCUACGGGGGGGCAAGGAUGUGAGUGAAGCUGUACCGUGCUAACCAUAGCGCUGGGGGUAUCCCGGUGGUGUGAGUGUAUAGGCACCGGGUUCUCUAGUGGGAUGCAGUUCACAGACUAAAUGGUAGUGGGCGAGAUCAGGUUUGUCUAGCCUGGUAUUGCUUAAGAUAUAGUCGAGCCUCCGGGGAAACUCGGGGGGAAGCAACUAGCGAAAGUUUCCCUCCGGGGAAACUCGGGGGGAAGCGACUAGCGAAAGCUUCCAUCCGGGGAAACUCGGGGGGAAGCGACUAGCGAAAGCUUCCCUCCGGGGAAACUCGGGGGAAGCAACUAGCGAAAGUUUCCAUCCGGGGAAACUCGGGGGGAAGCAACUAGCGAAAGCUUCCCUCCGGGGAAACUCGGGGGGAAGCGACUAGCGAAAGCUUCCCUCCGGGGAAACUCGGGGGGAAGCGACUAGCGAAAGCAUCCAUCCGGGGAAACUCGGGGGGAAGCGACUAGCGAAAGCUUCCCUCCGGGGAAACUCGGGGGGAAGCGACUAGCGAAAGCAUCCAUCCGGGGAAACUCGGGGGGAAGCGACUAGCGAAAGCUUCCAUCCGGGGAAACUCGGGGGGAAGCAACUAGUGAAAGCUUCAAUAGCAGAUACCGUCGUAGUCUUAACUAUAAAUGAUACUGACCAGAGAUAGGAUUCUGUCCAUCUCGACUUCUCCUGGAUCUUUGAGAAAUUAUAGUCUUUGAGUUCUGGGGGGAGUAUGGUCGCAAGGCUGAAACUUAAAGGAAUUGACGGAAGGGCACACAAAGAGUGGAACCUGCGGCUUAACUCCAUAGGCCGCGAUAGUUAGCACGGUUGGCAUGUCAGGAUCAAGCGAGUAUGGAACGGAAAAUUCUGGGGAGUCUGAGGAUGAAUACUAUGAUGACGAGGAACCAGAACCAGCGGAUUCAAAGGGAAAGGUUGCGUAUGGACGGGUUGGAUUGUGCAAAUUGCUGAAAGCAGUUGAGGACCAGACUCUUGAGACUCUAACUAGACCCCGCAAGAAGGUUGAAGUCGAUGGGGUUGCGGCUUUUCUGGUAGCCAAAUUGGAGGCCUUUCACAAGGAGCACGAUCCAUUCACGUACUUACAAGACCACUGCAUCGGUAGGAGACUUUACUUUAUAUUGUAGUAACUAACUCGUCACAGGAUCUAAACCCGACAAACCCUGGUAUGCAAUGACCCAGGCCCUUUUGGUUACCAAACAUGGCAUGUGCCUUGUGGGGAGCAAGAAGUGGCCUCAGUUAAGGCUCGGGGUGUCGGCUGGGGGAGACAAGGAAAAUCAUAUUCGAGUCCAAGCCUCGGUUAUUGUUGAUUUCUUGGUUGGACAAAUGUCUGAUAGGGAAUUGAUCGUGGCUAUUAAGGCGAAGCUUGAUAACUGGGGGACUGAAUCUCGGGUGGUUGCCCACUUGUGCAAAAGCAAGAACGGGAUGUGUGCUACUGUUCAACACGGUGUGCAUGUCUCCAGUGGGGUGAACAUCAAGGAGCAUGAAGUCUGCCCGGCAUACAUGGUGAUCUAUGGAGCCCUCUUUAACCUGUGUAUUUGUCAGAAGCCGCAGUGUAUUGUUCCGGGACCUCGGUUUAAUUUUGGAGUGUGGAGUGAAAUCUAUGCCCCAUUGUUCGAUCAUGUCCAGAUUACUGGGAUGCAGUUGAAGUGUGUUGUACAGUGCGAAAAAUAAAUUGUUAAACCCUGAUAUGUGUGGCUGUGUAGGCUAGCUAGUUGACCCCCCAGAAAGGUUGAGCAGGGGGGCAGCGAGACAACCUGGUACGAGGGAACUCUGAGUUGGGGUCCGCUUGGGCCCGCCCUCAGACAAUCUCGUGGCGAGCUGCCGGUGGGUAACUGCUGGAUAGCCGUCGUAACGCGCGGUAAGGUGUCGGGUGUCCCGGAGAAAUCCGGGAUAUCUUAAGGAACGUGCUACUCCCGCCCGUGAGGGUGCAUUGUACUGGAGCUCUCAACAGCGAAGGUAUGGUGGUCCGAGAAUCUGCCGGAAAUGGUAGUGGAGAUUGGUAUCAAGGUAAUUUGACUCAACACGGGAAAACUCACCAGGUCCGGAUACACGUAUGAAAGACAAGCUGAAAGACUUUUCUCAAUGAUGUAAGUGGUGGUGCAUGGUCGUUCUUAGUUCGUGGAUUGAUUUGUCUGGUCUAUUCCGAUAACGAGCGAGACCCCGGCGUUCCUAAUAGGGGUGGCAGCCCGGCUCGUCCCUCACGGGACUUGCUAGCAGCCACUUAAGAUGUACUUCUUAGACGUAUCAGAGCCGAUAAGGUUCUUGAAAUGGGUUAAUAACAGGUCAGUCAUGCCCUUAGAUGUUCUGGGCCGCACGCGCGUUACAAUGGCAUGUAUACAUAGUGCCUAAAAGGGCGUAUCCGGGGCCUAACGGCUUCGGUAACCCUUAGUCCCUGCCUUGACUGGGACAGACUAUUGCAAUUAUUGGUCUCAAACGAGGAAUUUUUAGUAGUCGUAGGUCAUUAACCUGCGACGAAUGCGUCCCUGCCCUGACAAAGGUUUGAGCUUUCCACCCCCGGGAAAACCCGGGAUCUUUCAAUCUGGUCCUGCAGACUGGAGCGAGAGGUCCCGGGCAGCCCCGGGGACCGAUUUAGUACGGGAUCCCGGCACUCCUCCUGCAGGUGUAGAGAGCUGGGGUCCCCGAAAAGUCGGGGUUAGCACUUAUCCCAAGGGGCAAAAAGGAUCCAGGACAACUGGCUUCUAGUCCGACCACCAAACCCCUGCUAUCGCAGUUGGGGUGCGGGGGGCUUCCCGAAUCGACGGGGAUUCACGGGCAACACUAACCAAGUAGCGGGAAUCUCCUUAAAAGCACUGGAUACCAAGCCAUCCUUUUGAAAAGAGGGGUGGUGGCUCCGGAUAACACCCGGGGGUAUGGUGAUAAAGCCAGGCGCAUCAGGGGCAACCUGCAGCCAAGCCCGUAACGGUCCCUCCCAGGAUCCAGGGUGCAGCUCACAGGCCAAACGGUGGUGGGUGGUCCCCAGCAAGACGCCUCUCGGGGCUGAAAGCUGGGUCUGCUUAAGAUAUGGUCGACCGGACAGAACUGGUCCUUAACUUGUUCAAAAACGUAGGGUACGGGAUAUCCCAUAUGAGGCAAUGGGUUCGGAAAAAAGGGAUUGGUUGGUCCCGGGUAGGCUGGUAGGCUGGUAGGCUGGUAGGCUGGUAGGCUAAUACGGAAGGAUACGGAGGGGAAACACGCAAAACUAACCAUCGGAGCGGACAAUCACCGUUGUACACACCGCCCGUCGCUGCUACCGAUUGGGUUUUGCGGUUACGAGUUCAGAGGACGCGGCUCCCUGCCUGCCUUCGGGUAGGCAGUAACUGUGACCAAAGUUCUAAUUACCGCACGGCCUAGAGGAAGCAGAAGUC
This 5375-nucleotide ribosomal RNA is filed under the name Diderma meyerae. RNAcentral's name for it is "partial 18S ribosomal RNA". The stretch from base 1 to 1738 matches the Rfam family "Eukaryotic small subunit ribosomal RNA". The record is from RNAcentral. Lineage: Eukaryota; Evosea; Eumycetozoa; Physariida; Didymiaceae.